This 93-nucleotide transfer RNA is filed under the name Serratia marcescens. Its description in RNAcentral is "tRNA-Leu(tag)". It matches the Rfam family "tRNA". From Rfam's summary of the family: Transfer RNA (tRNA) molecules are approximately 80 nucleotides in length. Their secondary structure includes four short double-helical elements and three loops (D, anti-codon, and T loops). Further hydrogen bonds mediate the characteristic L-shaped molecular structure. tRNAs have two regions of fundamental functional importance: the anti-codon, which is responsible for specific mRNA codon recognition, and the 3' end, to which the tRNAs corresponding amino acid is attached (by aminoacyl-tRNA synthetases). tRNAs cope with the degeneracy of the genetic code in two manners: having more than one tRNA (with a specific anti-codon) for a particular amino acid; and 'wobble' base-pairing, i.e. permitting non-standard base-pairing at the 3rd anti-codon position. Lineage: Bacteria; Pseudomonadati; Pseudomonadota; Gammaproteobacteria; Enterobacterales; Yersiniaceae. The record is from RNAcentral.
GCGAAGGUGGCGGAAUUGGUAGACGCGCUAGCGCUAGCUUCAGGUGUUAGUGUUCUUACGGACGUGAGGGUUCAAGUCCCUCUCUUCGCACCA